RNAcentral lists this ribosomal RNA (258 nucleotides) under uncultured bacterium. RNAcentral describes it as "partial 16S ribosomal RNA". It matches the Rfam family "Bacterial small subunit ribosomal RNA", at positions 333 to 588 of the family's 1533-position model. The record is from RNAcentral.
GCGCUCCUACGGGGGGCAGCAGUGAGGAAUAUUGGUCAAUGGGCGCGAGCCUGAACCAGCCAAGUCGCGUGAGGGAAGACGGUCCUAUGGAUUGUAAACCUCUUUUGUCGGGGAGCAAAAGACGCCACGUGUGGCGUUCCGAGAGUACCCGAAGAAAAAGCAUCGGCUAACUCCGUGCCAGUAGCCGCGGUAAUACGGAGGAUGCGAGCGUUAUCCGGAUUUAUUGGGUUUAAAGGGUGCGCAGGCGGGAGAUCAAGU